AGUGAACGCUGGCGGUAGGCCUAACACAUGCAAGUCGAACGGCAGCACAGUAAGAGCUUGCUCUUACGGGUGGCGAGUGGCGGACGGGUGAGGAAUACAUCGGAAUCUACUUUUUCGUGGGGGAUAACGUAGGGAAACUUACGCUAAUACCGCAUACGACCUACGGGUGAAAGCAGGGGAUCUUCGGACCUUGCGCGAUUGAAUGAGCCGAUGUCGGAUUAGCUAGUUGGCGGGGUAAAGGCCCACCAAGGCGACGAUCCGUAGCUGGUCUGAGAGGAUGAUCAGCCACACUGGAACUGAGACACGGUCCAGACUCCUACGGGAGGCAGCAGUGGGGAAUAUUGGACAAUGGGCGCAAGCCUGAUCCAGCCAUACCGCGUGGGUGAAGAAGGCCUUCGGGCUGUAAAGCCCUUUUGUUGGGAAAGAAAAGCAGCAGGUUAAUACCCCGCUGCUCUGACGGUACCCAAAGAAUAAGCACCGGCUAGCUUCG
Molecule: ribosomal RNA, 490 nt
Filed under: uncultured bacterium
Lineage: Bacteria
Description: partial 16S ribosomal RNA
Rfam family: Bacterial small subunit ribosomal RNA
Source: RNAcentral